AUGGGACAUGUAUUAUCAUUCCACUACAGAAAAUUUUACAGGUCUCACAGAUACAUCAGAUGGGCGAAAUGCCAGAAAUUGAGAAGUAGAAGAUGUAAAUUUGGACCAAGAAUAUUUUCAGGAUUAAGGCAACAGGAGUUGUUAUCUCGUUUGCUCCCUCACAUGGCAGAAGAAUGUCAAAAUACUUUACUUGAGGUAAUAUAUCUUACUGAAACUUUUAUGCUACGAUUUACCUUUGCAGUGUGAAUUGUAUUAUAGGAACUUGUCUGCACAUUUGCAUUAUAUAAUCAUAUGCAAACCAACAAAAGUUUUCUAUACUAAUUAUUACUUUAAAGAGUAUUACUCUACUUCAAAUUCUGUGUGAACUGUCUGCCACAUUUUUGUUUGAGCCCAAGAUUGUGGAACAGUAGAAAAUAUAAGUAACAUUAUUAUUUCAUACAUAAAAAUAUUAGGCAGAUUAACAUCCCUUUAAUUCUGAACUUCUCUGAUGUUUUUUUUUUACAUAAGUUUCCUUGUACCAGUACCUUCCUAAGUUUUCUUUCCUUUUAUAAAGUUCUUGCUCUAAUGUGUGAAUUUAAUACUCUUAUGCUGGUCAACCGGAAUUAUACGUUUGUUAGCAUUAGCAAGAGACGAGUUUCAUUGAUGCGAUGACUUCUUUUCGCAUGAAUUUUUCUCUAGUAAAACUUGAAGCUCUUUUCAUCUGAUUUGCAAUACAGGACUUCGGAUAUUGUUUGUAUAUUCAAGGAUGGAAAAAUAGCAAUAUAAGUGUGGGCAUUACUUAAAUUUUAACCGAUAACUUUUGCUAUCGAUUCUUGCCUACUCAAAUUGAAUUUAUAGAUAUCUUUGGUUGCUUGUAUUGUACAUUUUAUGUAAAUCCUAGCAAAAAUCCUUGUCUGUAUUAUAAAAGAACCAUAUGAGAAAAUGUACUAAUGCAACACAGAACUUUUCAUUUUCGGAUGACGAAAGGGAGGUAAAUGCAAGUAUGUGAUGCUUGUGGAUCCAUCCUAUCUGCCAUUUGUGUCCAUCAGAUUUUUUAUGUUGGUAGAUGUGAUAGCUAAGCAACUUAUGAUUGACAAAAUAUAAACAUAGAAAUUGGUUGCUCACGAUGAAGCCAUUUUAUGCCAUUAAUCAGAUAAUGGGCAGAAGAUGUGCCCUGGAUUUGAAUUUUUGGUGUUGUAAUUUUGUCAUUAUCUUUAUGUGCCCAAUUAUUUAUGAAUUGGGUCAGGAUGGCAGUCAAGGACCCAAAAGUGGCGCAAUCUAAGUCCGAGAACCUGAAAACUAAAGAGCUGCUGAAGAGAUCAUUCAGUCAGAGCUGCUUAUAUUCGCUUGUGGCUAAUAUGUCAUGUUCUGUGUUUUUUAGGCUUUGUUCACUUUCUUCCAAGCUCAUCAAGAGAGACCAUCAAGAUCCUGA
Molecule: long non-coding RNA, 1411 nt
Filed under: Prunus dulcis (almond)
Lineage: Eukaryota; Viridiplantae; Streptophyta; Magnoliopsida; Rosales; Rosaceae
Description: sRNA ncRNA
Source: RNAcentral